AAAGGCAUAGAAUUCUAGUAAGUGAGAUUGUAAGUCUCCCCUCUUUCAUGAUAUUGUGUGGAAACUUGGCCUUUUUUCCUUUCUUUGGAAGAUGUCUUGGUUCAAGAAUUCAUGCUUGUGAAUAGUGGGUUGAGUAUUCUCCAAAGAAUGACUUAAACAAAACAAAAGCAAAAGCAAUACUAACUUAUAAUCAAUUAACAACUAACAUUUAAAUUCAAGCCAUUUACUUUUAUG
Molecule: long non-coding RNA, 234 nt
Filed under: Lathyrus oleraceus (garden pea)
Lineage: Eukaryota; Viridiplantae; Streptophyta; Magnoliopsida; Fabales; Fabaceae
Description: Pisum sativum (pea) long non-coding RNA (PSAT_LNC000100)
Source: RNAcentral